GUGCGUCUUCAGGGCGGGGCGAAAUUCCCCACCGGCGGUAGGCUGGCGAAAGCCGGCGAGCCCGCGAGCGCCCGCGCAGCUGCGCGGGGUCAGCAGAUCUGGUCGAAUGCCAGAGCCGACGGUCAUAGUCCGGAUGAGAGAAGAUGUGC
RNAcentral lists this non-coding RNA (149 nucleotides) under Burkholderia vietnamiensis. RNAcentral's name for it is "FMN sequence". It matches the Rfam family "FMN riboswitch aptamer (RFN element)". From Rfam's summary of the family: The RFN element is a highly conserved domain that is found frequently in the 5'-untranslated regions of prokaryotic mRNAs that encode for flavin mononucleotide (FMN) biosynthesis and transport proteins. This element is a metabolite-dependent riboswitch that directly binds FMN in the absence of proteins. Lineage: Bacteria; Pseudomonadati; Pseudomonadota; Betaproteobacteria; Burkholderiales; Burkholderiaceae. The record is from RNAcentral.